GGGGAAUAUUGGACAAUGGGCGCAAGCCUGAUCCAGCAAUGCCGCGUGAGUGAUGAAGGCCUUAGGGUUGUAAAGCUCUUUCACCCGUGAUGAUAAUGACAGUAGCGGGAGAAUAAGCCCCGGCUAACUCCGUGCCAGCAGCCGCGGUAAUACGGAGGGGGCUAGCGUUGUUCGGAAUUACUGGGCGUAAAGCGCACGUAGGCGGCUUUGUAAGUUAGAGGUGAAAGCCUGGAGCUCAACUCCAGAACUGCCUUUAAGACUGCAUCGCUUGAAUCCAGGAGAGGUGAGUGGAAUUCCGAGUGUAGAGGUGAAAUUCGUAGAUAUUCGGAAGAACACCAGUGGCGAAGGCGACUUACUGGACAACUGUUGACGCUGAGGUGCGAAAGCGUGGGGAGCAAA
This 399-nucleotide ribosomal RNA is filed under the name uncultured bacterium. RNAcentral describes it as "bacterial SSU rRNA". It matches the Rfam family "Bacterial small subunit ribosomal RNA", at positions 356 to 772 of the family's 1533-position model. The record is from RNAcentral.